GAUGAACGCUGGCGGCGUGCUUAACACAUGCAAGUCGAACGAUGAAGCUCAGCUUGCUGGGUGGAUUAGUGGCGAACGGGUGAGUAACACGUGAGUAACCUGCCCUUAACUCUGGGAUAAGCCUGGGAAACUAGGUCUAAUACCGGAUAGGAGCGCCUACCGCAUGGUGGGUGUUGGAAAGAUUUAUCGGUUUUGGAUGGACUCGCGGCCUAUCAGCUUGUUGGUGAGGUAAUGGCUCACCAAGGCGACGACGGGUAGCCGGCCUGAGAGGGUGACCGGCCACAGGGGGAAGGAAAAACGCCCCAGACCACGAGGGGGGGAAGAAGGGGGGAAUAUGCAAAAGGGGGAAAAGGCUGGAGGCGGCGAGGCGGGGGGAGGGAGAACGGCCUGGGGGUGGAAACCCUUUUUAAGGGGGAAAGAAGAAAAAGGGACGGUACCUGAAAAAGAAGAACGGGAAAACUACGUG
Molecule: ribosomal RNA, 466 nt
Filed under: uncultured bacterium
Lineage: Bacteria
Description: partial 16S ribosomal RNA
Rfam family: Bacterial small subunit ribosomal RNA
Source: RNAcentral